Molecule: long non-coding RNA, 1327 nt
Organism: Labeo rohita (rohu)
Lineage: Eukaryota; Metazoa; Chordata; Actinopteri; Cypriniformes; Cyprinidae
Exons: 3
Source: RefSeq, a predicted model, not a curated record
AAAAACCUGGGGGUGUGGUGUUUCAUUCUGUCAUUCUGUUGUAACUGAGCAGUUCAAAGCGGUCUAUCUCCUCAGAGGUCGAAACUAGGGAUAAAGAAGCUGUACUAAACAUUUCACAUAUAUUAUCGACAAUAGGAGGAAGUUUAUAUGGGAAGUCGCUGUGUCAAGUCGUGACAAUGACAUGUGACAUCUUUGUCAAAGGACACUAGAACCUCUGUCACUGAAGGAGUGAUUAGCAAAAUAUUGUUCACCAGUCGUUUUUCUUUUUUUUUUUUUUUCAAAGCAAAAACACCAAACGUAUUUGGUUAUUAAAUACCUUUGGACCUCUAGUGAACCUGUGGAAUUUUGGACCCUUCUUCCCCUCAAGAUCAAGUCUGGGCGAGUCUAGAUGUGUGAGCAAGAACUACAAGCAGUUAAAGUUGAAGAUGCUUUACUUGAACAGCCCGAGUCGAGGGCUGACUCGCACAGGAUCACCUGUCAUGACAUCUGUAAGGACCCAGACCAUCGCAAACUAGCCAUUUGCAGCAUCAUAUGUGGCCUUUCCUGUCUUGGAAUUAUGUCCCUUAUGUACUCUGUCAAGGCUAGAGAAACAAGAAAAAGACUUCAAAAUGAAAAUACACAAGAAACACAGCAGAUGGUUCAGAACUACUCUGAAAAGGCAUGUAAAUGGGGAAUUGGGUCCAUUGUAGCCUGGGUGGGUUUAAUUCUCAUCUUUCCAUUGCUGCUGGGAUUUCUGUCCUAUGUUGUAACCUUCAUAGACUGACACUGCAAAACCGUUUCUACAAUUAAAUGAGCGACCAGAGCAUCUAGACCACCAAAAAUGUAACCUGAUAACAAAAGGUUGGUCAGUAAUGGUCAUUUUUUUAGUCUACUAACUUGCUACUUAUAAUAUAAGAGUAUUCAUAAUGUACUAGUACAUAAUUUGUAUGCCUUUCGGUAGUAACAAAACAUACUGGAAUUUAUUAUUAAACUAAUUAAAUCGCUGCAAUUACAGCAGUGCAGCCAGUUAAAAUGGUACAGCAACAGGAUUUGUUACAGAUGGAGAUGGAGCCAUACAUAAAACCAUCAGCACUGUCCAGAGAAGAGCUACUUUUACACUUCAGCAAGCUGAUUUUAUUUAUUCUCUUAAUGCAAAUUGGAGAUGAAACAUUGAGACACUCACAGAGAGCAGGACAUUCCAAUGUUGAGAUAUGGAUGUGGUUACAUUAUUAAUAUUGUGUUCUUGUAAAUAACUUGUACUGUUUCAAUACCUUGUGCUUUUGAUGUUUUGUACACUGCAUGUAUUUCAGACUUUGUAAUAAAAUGCGUAACAGUCAAAAUGCACCUG